GGGGGCUCGGGGGGGCGGGGGGCCGACGGGUGUCCGAUCCCAGCCACUUUCGUGAAACUCCAGUAAGGAGGAGACGCCGACAUUGAAAACGACUUUCGAAAGGAAGGCUCCAAGAGCACUAAAUCCAAGAGGUCUGGCUGGUCCAGCCCUCCCACCUGCGGCUGCAGCCCCGCCCGUUUCCAGGUGGGGUUCCAGGCGACCCGGCAGAACAGAGGCCACCGCUUCCCGCUCACGUGCUGCCUUUCCUCCACCCGCCGGCCCAGCUGCCUGCAGCCCAGAUUCGUCCUGCUAAGCGGAAGUGAGCCUGAGGAAAUCACAGCUGAGCGUCGCAGGCCCUUGGAAUCUCACUCUAAGUGUAAAAUUCGCCAUCAUAUCUUCGCAGCUCAUCUCGUAAUGACAAAGAUAAUGACGAUUUUAAAAUACAUUAUUUGGGGCGCCUGGGUGGUGCAGUCGGUUAAGCGUCCGACUUCAGCCAGGUCACGAUCUCGCGGUCCGUGAGUUCGAGCCCCGCGUCAGGCUCUGGGCUGACGGCUCAGAGCCUGGAGCCUGUUUCCGAUUCUGUGUCUCCCUCUCUCUCUGACCCUCCCCCGUUCAUGCUCUGUCUCUCUCUGUCCCAAAAAUAAAUAAAAAAAAGUUGAAAAAAAUUAAAAAAAAAAAAAAAACAUUAUUUGAAGUCGUUAACCGGUUCAAGCAGACGCGAGGAGACCAACGGCCAGAGCGAGCGUUAUUUUCACAGACAGAGCCCGCCUUGUUCUCAGCUGCCGUCGGCACAGGAGACGUGGCUGGAGUUGCACGCCCACCGCGGGGCCUGGGGCUACCCCUCCGGGUCCCCUCGGAGCGUCUGUGCCUCGAGGGGCGCGGGAGCCCCGGGACCGUGGACGGGGCUCAGGUUGCGGGUGGGCGGCAGAGCCACGUGCAGCCACGGACCCAGGGAGCGGCGAUGCCCCGCGAGGCCCCUCUUCUGCGGCUCCUGGACCAGGAAACCGGGCGGAGCGACCUUGACGGGGACACGGGGCGGCCACCUGCGUCGCACGCAUCCCAAGCGCGGGGCACUCGCCCAGGACGCUCCGUGCACACGCAGGCUCCAGCCGGCAGGCGCCAGGUCGCACCGCGGCCCGGGAUUGACAGGGAGCCACAGGCCCCGGAGAUUUAUUAAACAUCCAAAGGCCACGUGUGCCCGAGAGGCCAGUCUGCACCCACUGCGUCCUGUGACCACACCGCCAGUCCGUUGCCAUUUUCCAGCCCGCGUUCUGCUGCCGGGAGCACCCUCGCUCGCGGUGCAGACGGGCAGGUCUCUCCAGGUGGGUCCUCAGUCUUACCAGACGGUCCCACGGGUUUCCCAGCGUGGCUGUACCACAUCGGUUCCUGGUGACCCAGCCCCGGCCAGGCUGCCGGGGGUAAAAUCACCCUUGGUGGUCUGCCUCCGCACCUCCGAUAACGCGGGAGUGGGGGCCUUCUUACCUUGUUCUCCACCCACGAAAAGCAGCCCCUUUCUAAACUCAGAAACUGACACAGUUUGUUGUUUUGUUUUUUUUUUUGCCAGAUUGUCCUUUGGGCCACCGGGAUAG
Molecule: long non-coding RNA, 1568 nt
Filed under: Felis catus (domestic cat)
Lineage: Eukaryota; Metazoa; Chordata; Mammalia; Carnivora; Felidae
Description: lncRNA (ENSFCAG00000051967.1)
Source: RNAcentral